RNAcentral lists this unclassified non-coding RNA (352 nucleotides) under soil metagenome. RNAcentral's name for it is "partial contains 5.8S ribosomal RNA, internal transcribed spacer 2, and large subunit ribosomal RNA". The stretch from base 1 to 120 matches the Rfam family "5.8S ribosomal RNA", at positions 35 to 154 of the family's 154-position model. The record is from RNAcentral.
GAUGAAGAACGCAGCGAAAUGCGAUAAGUAAUGUGAAUUGCAGAAUUCAGUGAAUCAUCGAAUCUUUGAACGCACAUGGCGCCCGCCAGUAUUCUGGCGGGCAUGCCUGUUCGAGCGUCAUUACAACCCUCAGGCCCUCGGGCCUGGCGUUGGGGAUCGGCGGAGCCCCCCGUGGGCACACGCCGUCCCCCAAAUGCAGUGGCGGUCCCGCCGCAGCUUCCAUCGCGUAGUAGCUAACACCUCGCGACUGGAGAGCGGCGCGGCCACGCCGUAAAACACCCAACUCUUCUGAAGUUGACCUCGAAUCAGGUAGGAAUACCCGCUGAACUUAAGCAUAUCAAUAAGCGGAGGA